GACGAACGCUGGCGGCGUGCUUAACACAUGCAAGUCGAACGGAAAGGCCCUGCUUUUGUGGGGUGCUCGAGUGGCGAACGGGUGAGUAACACGUGAGUAACCUGCCCUUGACUUUGGGAUAACUUCAGGAAACUGGGGCUAAUACCGGAUAGGAGCUCCUGCGGCAUGGGGGGGGGUGGAAAGUUUCGGCGGUUGGGGAUGGACUCGCGGCUUAUCAGCUUGUUGGUGGGGUAGUGGCUUACCAAGGCUUUGACGGGUAGCCGGCCUGAGAGGGUGACCGGCCACAUUGGGACUGAGAUACGGCCCAGACUCCUACGGGAGGCAGCAGUGGGGAAUAUUGCACAAUGGGCGGAAGCCUGAUGCAGCAACGCCGCGUGCGGGAUGACGGCCUUCGGGUUGUAAACCGCUUUCGCCUGUGACGAAGCGUGAGUGACGGUAAUGGGUAAAGAAGCACCGGCUAACUACGUG
This 468-nucleotide ribosomal RNA is filed under the name uncultured bacterium. Its description in RNAcentral is "partial 16S ribosomal RNA". It matches the Rfam family "Bacterial small subunit ribosomal RNA", at positions 28 to 507 of the family's 1533-position model. The record is from RNAcentral.